This is a non-coding RNA of Equus caballus (horse), 4161 nucleotides long. The record is from RefSeq and is a predicted model, not a curated record. NCBI's taxonomy places the organism in Eukaryota, Metazoa, Chordata, Mammalia, Perissodactyla, Equidae.
AGAAUGUCAACACACCUCUCUGAGCUUCACUUUGCUCUUCCGAAAGUGGAGUGGUCAGAAGAUGAACCUCAUGGGGUUACUGGAGGAAAUCAUGGGAUAAGCUGUGGCAGGUGCUUCCCUGGCGCCUGGCUCUGCAGAAAGGACUGCUGGACAUUUUCAUCUUUAUUAAUUCUCUCUCUCCCAUGGAGAAGCUCUCUGCCUCACUCCAAACUGUCCCGUGGCUUUCCUGAGUUUGGAAAGCCUCAUGGAAAACAACCUCUUUUCCCAUUUGUAAAGUAGUUUUGAGAUUCCAUCCAACUGGUCCUGGUCCUUGUCCUCAGGGUAGCCAAAUUAGGGAUUUCCGGGGGCGGGCAGAGGAGCCCUGGAGCCAUGUCAACACCUGGGGAGGUUCCGGUUGAGUUCAUCCUUCAACAGUCUCUAUUAAACACCUACUUCAUGCAGGCACUUUCCUGGAUAAUGUCAUUUAGUAAAUGGAGCAGACUCAAUCCUUGGGCGUGAGAUCCUGUCUUAGAGUGGGACAGUCACUCUAGACAUCAUAAGCAGUCAUGUUCACAGCAUAUUGGAUGUCACACCCCCAUGGCCUCUUGUAGAUAUGGAUGCAUCUUGCCGUAUUCCAUCCAGGGUGACCAACAGGAGCUCCAUCUAAGAACGUGAGUGGUCUUUGGGUGCAGAAGGCAGGCCUCCUGUCUCCACAGAAGAGCCUGGGAGUCUCUGGGGGCUGUGGCUGGGGAAGGACUGACUGGCAGAACUCUGGAUCUCGCACAGGUUUGAUUCCCAUGAGAGGGCUGAGGUCUGGGGCCUUGCCCUUCAUGAGGACAUGAGUCAAAGAGACCUGUGGGUGGGGUCGCAGCCUCCCUGAGAAGCAGAGGGGAGGGGACUGAGUGGGCCUUGAGAGACCCAUCCUUUCCACAGUCCCAUGUCACCCUGUGCCCUCUCCACAUCCACUUGUCCUAACCACCACCACCGGGGCCCCAGAUAGUAGGUGUGGUGAGCCGCCUGCUCACCAAUCUGCCUCCAACCUAAGUCCUGAUGCUCAUGUGCAUGGGGGAUGGGGUCGGCUCUGGCCAGGCCCUGGGAGAAGAGUGUCAGUGGGCAGAUGAGACUCCCACAGGCUCUCUGUUAGACCUGGUCGAUGACCAGGCCUUCCACUGCACGGACAGCCACAGGGGGUUGGGUGUGGGCUGGGCCAUCCUGUGGGUCCUUGACCCAGAUAAGGGAGCUGUGGGAGCACGGUGUGGAAGGAAAGGCCAGGCUUCAGACUCCACUUCACACGACUCUCCCCACUGCCCUCUCUCUCAUGCUGGGCACCUGGCCAGAACAGAACUCUCAGACUUCCAUGCAGCCCCUGCACUGUCCCUUUUUCAAGGUAAAGGGGCUGUACGUGCAGGUUACCUUACCUAGCUCUGUCCUGAAUUGCUGUGACCCUGUGAUCCUGGUCUAGUUGGAGCUUCUAGAGGCCACUGAAGCAGAGUCAGAGGGUAAGGGGGGCUGCAGGCUGUGAAGACUAUCUGGGGUGGGUUCAUGGGCUGGGUAUUCCUGUAAGGGCAGUGGGAUCUUUCCUGUUUGGGGUAAGGCAAUGGAAAGUCAGUCAUGUGGGUGAACCCUUCUCUUUAUCCUGCUCCAGUGCCAGCUCCAGGUCUCCAGCCAGCUGCAGAACCACAACAGUGGCCAGUUGCGGAGGUAGAGCCAGCUCCAGCUCCAGCUCCAUUGAUACCACCACCUGUAGCGCUGGAGCUAGCAUCACCGCCAUCAGCAGUGUUGGAGCUGGAGCAAGGACCAGCAUCAGCUCCAGCGGGAGUGGCAGCUCCUGAGCUAGAGUCACCUGGACCACCAGGUCUAAUGGGAAUUCCAUCACCAGCUCCAAAAAUACAGCGGCUCGAAACCCAGAGCCUUCCUGCCCCAGGCCUGUGGCCGGUAAGAACCCGCUGAGCGAGGAGAAGCCUAACCUCCCAGCCUUCCCUCCUAAGCAGGUCGCAGAACAGCUAACGAUCGUGGACGCGGGGAGCAGCUGGGCUCUCAGGGCAGGGUGGGGCAGGCCUUCCCCCUGCCAUCAGCUGCCCCAGACCUGAUCUGGACUCCUAUGAUCUGGGUCCACAUCCCGGCUCCACCCCUUCCCUACCAAAUGACCUGGGCAACUUCCUGAAGGCCCACGCCUUUGCUGUCCACCUGUGGACAGUAGAAGAGGACACUAACAGGACCUGCUGCACAGGGUGGCUGUGCCCAGUAAAUGGGGAAGAAGAGAUGGGAAGCCGGACGGGGCCUGAGCCAUUGGGUGGGGCAGCGUCCUGGGUCAUCCUGUGCUGGGUGUCCUCAGUGGACAGAGAAUACAACCCAGGGGCUCCCACGAGGCUCAGGCCACAUCCUCAGCUUCCUCAGCUCCACCUCUAAACUGUGAGCCCUGCCUGGGAUUUUAGGGGCUGCAGACACAGAGCUGGGGUGUGGCAGGGCCAAGUGACACUCCCCGUGUCCCAAUAGCUCUUCAGCAAGUUGGUGCCCUCUCAGUGCCUGAGUCCACUUGGGGCAAGAGAAACAAGCAUGGGAACGAGCACCGUCUGGGGGUCCACCAACCACUUCAAAGUGUGGUCAACUGUGUUAUCACCACCUGCCUGGGGAACCCAAGUAUGAUGGCCUGGGACAGGGUUAAAGUCAUGGAGCUCUGGAUUCAGGUGGCCCAGGGAUGCUGUGGGAGGCCAGUGCGCUCCCUCUCUGGGGCCUUGGGAGCUGCUGCUGCUCCUUUAUCAGGUCUCAGGAUUGAAGUGUGUGGUCUAAGGUCCUGCACAGUCCCUAGGCCCUUCCUGCCAGGGACAUGCAGACCUGGAGUCCAGGUCCCAGCAGUAGGAUGCGCACUUCCUACCUGGCUCCUUCCUUGGGUGGAGCUAAAAUCCUGCUCUCUGUGAGUGUUCCUCUUUGGGUCCUAAAUGUGCCCUUGCAGGGCUCCCUGAGCACCUGUCUUUUCCAGGACGGGAGAUUUAAAUUGAAGGGGACUGAAGCCAGAGCAAGCGAGGCCCCAGCGCCCCACCGACAGCUCAUUCUUUUCCCUUCCCAGGAGUGUGACAUCCUAACGAACUUCUCACAACACGCUGUUGUCUCUGCUCUGCAGAAUAUCUCCUUAGACCGUCUGGAGAAAACGUGGGGGAGUUUCCUGGUCGGUGGGCCUCUGCACACGAGACCUGGUAGAGGAGGGACCUCCCGUAUGUCUGCCAUUGCCCCUCAGUCACCGGGGAACGCCUGGGAGGCGGCAAACCCUGGGGACAGGGCCUGGGCAGGAGGGGGGCUCCCUAAGCCUCCUGGGGUCCUGAGUGCACCAGUUCUGCUUCAGGAAUCAGUUUCCUUGAAUGGCAGGUGCUGCUGGGCUGAGCGAAAUCGGAGAUUUUCAAGUGCUGACUUGAUAGCAACAGUUGAAGCUCACCCUGGUCACAACAGAGCUGCUCCAUAGCAACGGGAACGGAGGCCCCAGGUGACCACAGGAGAGCCCCGUCCCCAGUCCCACAGAGACCUGAGUGCUCAGAGGAGCCCAGUGAGAGCACUCGUGCAGGCUGUUUGCAUCCUGUGGGGUCUCAAAUAAAAGGGGUUUGCACUCAAGCCCCCACAGGCAUUAGUCCUCCAUGUAUCCUUCCUUCUUUCCCCUCCCCUCAGGGAGAGCUCCGAAAAUUUAACAGCCUAUGCAGCAAAGACAAGUCUCUGAGCAGAAAACUGAUGACCAAGGAAGCUUUCCAGAAGCAUCUACAAAGUGUUGAGAUGCUCAUAAACCUCCAGUUCGUGAAGAUGUGGAGAGAAACCACCGUCCAAAGAGAGACCAGUAGAUGUUUACUUUGUAAGCAAAAGAGAGGUAUCAUUGUUGCAUCUGAAACCGUGUCUCCAUCUUGCCCAGUUGCACUGAAUUUUCUCUUUUUUAUUACCUAGUGGCCAGCACUUCCUCAGUACUCAGUUCAGGAUUCGAAAAUAAGAUUAAGAUCCUAAUGCACCUCAAAGUUGAGCAACCCUGGCUGGAAUAUCACAGAUCCUUGAGUUGGAAGAGACCCUUUAUUCUCCAGUGAAUUUAUACUCAAUGCAAAGAUCCCUCCUUCUACAGCAUCCUUGACAACUGACCACCCAGAUUCCGUGUAAAUAACUCCAAUGACAAGAAACUCAUUAAACUGAGCAGACCACUUUGUGUUUAAA